ACACGAAUCCAGGCCCUACGGGGUGCAGCAGGCGCGAAAACUUUACAAUGCCGGCAACGGCGAUAAGGGGACCUCGAGUGCCAGGUUACAAAUCUGGCUGUCGUGAUGCCUAAAAAGCAUUGCAUAGCAAGGGCCGGGCAAGACCGGUGCCAGCCGCCGCGGUAACACCGGCGGCUCGAGUGGUAACCGUUAUUAUUGGGUCUAAAGGGUCUGUAGCCGGCCGGAUAAGUCUCUUGGGAAAUCCAGCAGCUCAACUGUUGGGCUUUCAGGAGAUACUGUUCGGCUCGAGGCCGGGAGAGGUGAGAGGUACUUCAGGGGUAGGGGUGAAAUCUUGUAAUCCUUGAAGGACCACCAGUGGCGAAGGCGUCUCACCAGAACGGACCUGACGGCAAGGGACGAAAGCUAGGGGCACGAACCGGAUUAGAUACCCGGGUAGUCCUAGCCGUAAACGAUACUCGCUAGGUGUCGGCCACGGUGCGACCGUUGUCGGUGCCGUAGGGAAGCCGUGAAGCGAGCCACCUGGGAAGUACGGCCGCAAGGCUGAAACUUAAAGGAAUUGGCGGGGGAGCACCACAACGGGUGGAGCUUGCGGUUUAAUUGGAUUCAACGCCGGAAAUCUUACCGGGACCGACAGCGAUAUGAAGGCCAGGCUGAAGACUUUGCCGGAUUAGCUGAGAGGUGGUGCAUGGCCGUCGUCAGUCCGUACUGUGAAGCAUCCUGUUAAGUCAGGCAACGAGCGAGACCCACGCCCACAGUUGCCAGCGUACUCUCCGGAGUGAUGGGUACACUGUGGGGACCGCCGCUGCUAAAGCGGAGGAAGGAAUGGGCAACGGUAGGUCAGUAUGCCCCGAAUAUCCCGGGCUACACGCGAGCUACAAUGGUUGGAACAAUGGGUAUCUACCCCGAAAGGGGAUGGAAAUCUCCUAAAUCCAAUCUUAGUUCGGAUUGAGGGCUGCAACUCGCCCUCAUGAAGCUGGAAUCCGUAGUAAUCGCGUUUCAACAGAACGCGGUGAAUACGUCCCUGCUCCUUGCACACACCGCCCGUCAAACCACCCGAGUAGGGUCUGAAUGAGAGCGCUUCCUAUGGAGGCGUUCGAAUUUGGGCUUUGCAAGGGGGGUU
This 1120-nucleotide ribosomal RNA is filed under the name uncultured archaeon. RNAcentral's name for it is "bacterial SSU rRNA". It matches the Rfam family "Archaeal small subunit ribosomal RNA", at positions 308 to 1429 of the family's 1478-position model. The record is from RNAcentral.